UGGGGAAUAUUGGACAAUGGAGGCAACUCUGAUCCAGCAAUUCUGUGUGCACGAUGAAGGUUUUCGGAUUGUAAAGUGCUUUCAGUAGGGAAGAAGAAAGUGACGGUACCUACAGAAGAAGCGACGGCUAAAUACGUGCCAGCAGCCGCGGUAAUACGUAUGUCGCAAGCGUUAUCCGGAAUUAUUGGGCGUAAAGGGCAUCUAGGCGGUUAAUCAAGUCGAAGGUGAAAACUUGUGGCUCAACCAUAAGCUUGCCUACGAAACUGAAUGACUAGAGUACUGGAGAGGUGGACGGAACUACACGAGUAGAGGUGAAAUUCGUAGAUAUGUGUAGGAAUGCCGAUGAUGAAGAUAGUUCACUGGACAGAAACUGACGCUGAAGUGCGAAAGCUAGGGGAGC
Molecule: ribosomal RNA, 400 nt
Filed under: uncultured bacterium
Lineage: Bacteria
Description: bacterial SSU rRNA
Rfam family: Bacterial small subunit ribosomal RNA
Source: RNAcentral